This 429-nucleotide ribosomal RNA is filed under the name uncultured bacterium. RNAcentral describes it as "bacterial SSU rRNA". It matches the Rfam family "Bacterial small subunit ribosomal RNA", at positions 940 to 1364 of the family's 1533-position model. The record is from RNAcentral.
UGCGCCCGGGAAAUUCGAGUUAACGCGAAGAACCUUACCAGCCCUUGACAUCCCUGGAACUUUUGUAGAGAUACAUUGGUGCCUUCGGAAUCCAGUGACAGGUGCUGCAUGGCUGUCGUCAGCUCGUGUCGUGAGAUGUUGGGUUAAGUCCCGCAACCGAGCGCAACCCUCGUCCAUAUGUUGCCAGCGGGUCAUGCCGGGGACUCAUAGGAGACUGCCGGGGUCAACUCGGAGGAAGGUGGGGAUGAGGUCAAGUCAUCAUGCCCCUUAUGUCCAGGGCUUACGCAUGCUACAAUGGCUGGUACAAAGGGCUGCGAGAUCGUGAGAUUAAGCGAAUCCCAGAAAGCCAGUCUCAGUUCGGAUUGGGGUCUGCAACUCGACCCCAUGAAGUCGGAGUCGCUAGUAAUCGCAGAUCAGCACGCUGCGGUG